GGUUUCAUAGUGUAGUGGUAAUCAUUUGGGUCUCUGAAUCCCAAGACACGAGUUCGAAUCUCGUUGGAACCU
RNAcentral lists this transfer RNA (72 nucleotides) under Hepatospora eriocheir. It matches the Rfam family "tRNA". From Rfam's summary of the family: Transfer RNA (tRNA) molecules are approximately 80 nucleotides in length. Lineage: Eukaryota; Fungi; Microsporidia; Hepatosporidae. The record is from Rfam by way of RNAcentral.